UGGCUCAGGAUGAGCGCUAGCGACAGGCCUAACACAUGCAAGUCGAAGGGCAUCGGGGCGAGGAGCAAUCCUUGCCGCCGGCGACCGGCGCACGGGUGAGUAACGCGUAUGCGACCUGCCCGUUGCAGGGGGAUAAUCGGGAGAAAUCCCGUCUAAUACCGCGUAAUGCCGCGGGGCUGCAUGGCCCUGCGGCCAAAGGAAGCGAUUCCGGCAACGGAUGGGCAUGCGUGACAUUAGCUAGUUGGCGGGGCAACGGCCCACCAAGGCGACGAUGUCUAGGGGUUCUGAGAGGAAGGUCCCCCACACUGGUACUGAAACACGGACCAGACUCCUACGGGAGGCAGCAGUGAGGAAUAUUGGUCAAUGGGCGCGAGCCUGAACCAGCCAAGUCGCGUGAGGGAUGACGGCCCUACGGGUUGUAAACCUCUUUUGUCGGGGAGCAAAUUCCGCCACGUGUGGCGGAGUCGAGAGUACCCGAAGAAAAAGCAUCGGCUAACUCCGUGCCAGCAGCCGCGGUAAUACGGAGGAUGCGAGCGAUAUCCGGAUUUAUUGGGUUUAAAGGGUGCGUAGGCGGACUGUCAAGUCAGCGGUAAAAUACGGGGGCUCAACCUCCGCCCGCCGUUGAAACUGACGGUCUUGAGUGGGCGAGAAGUAUGCGGAAUGCGUGGUGUAGCGGUGAAAUGCAUAGAUAUCACGCAGAACUCCGAUUGCGAAGGCAGCAUACCGGCGCCCAACUGACGCUGAAGCACGAAAGCGUGGGUAUCGAACAGGAUUAGAUACCCUGGUAGUCCACGCAGUAAACGAUGAAUACUAGCUGUCCGGGGCGAAUGAGCCCUGGGUGCACAGCGAAAGCGUUAAGUAUUCCACCUGGGGAGUACCCCGGCAACGGUGAAACUCAAAGGAAUUGACGGGGGCCCGCACAAGCGGAGGAACAUGUGGUUUAAUUCGAUGAUACGCGAGGAACCUUACCCGGGCUCAAACGACACAGGAACGUACCUGAAAGGGUUCGGCUCUACGGAGCCUGUGUCGAGGUGCUGCAUGGUUGUCGUCAGCUCGUGCCGUGAGGUGUCGGCUUAAGUGCCAUAACGAGCGCAACCCCCAUCGACAGUUGCUAACAGGUCAGGCUGGGGACUCUGUCGAGACUGCCGGCGCAAGCUGCGAGGAAGGCGGGGAUGACGUCAAAUCAGCACGGCCCUUACGUCCGGGGCGACACACGUGUUACAAUGGCAGGUACAGCGGGAAGCCACCUGGCGACAGGGAGCGGAACCCGAAAGCCUGUCUCAGUUCGGAUUGGAGUCUGCAACCCGACUCCAUGAAGCUGGAUUCGCUAGUAAUCGCGCAUCAGCCACGGCGCGGUGAAUACGUUCCCGGGCCUUGUACACACCGCCCGUCAAGCCAUGGAAGCCGGGGGUGCCUGAAGUGCGCUGCCGCGAGGAGCGCCCUAGGGUAAAACCGGUGACUGGGGCUAAGUCGUAACAAGG
This 1481-nucleotide ribosomal RNA is filed under the name uncultured bacterium. RNAcentral describes it as "16S ribosomal RNA". It matches the Rfam family "Bacterial small subunit ribosomal RNA". The record is from RNAcentral.